GAUGAACGCUGGCGGCGUGCCUAAUACAUGCAAGUCGAGCGAACGGACGAGAAGCUUGCUUCUCUGAUGUUAGCGGCGGACGGGUGAGUAACACGUGGAUAACCUACCUAUAAGACUGGGAUAACUUCGGGAAACCGGAGCUAAUACCGGAUAAUAUUUUGGACCGCAUGGUUCAAAAGUGAAAGACGGCCUUGCUGUCACUUAUAGAUGGAUCCGCGCUGCAUUAGCUAGUUGGUAAGGUAACGGCUUACCAAGGCAACGAUGCAUAGCCGACCUGAGAGGGUGAUCGGCCACACUGGAACUGAGGCACGGUCCAGACUCCUACGGGAGGCAGCAGUAGGGAAUCUUCCGCAAUGGGCGAAAGCCUGACGGAGCAACGCCGCGUGAGUGAUGAAGGUCUUCGGAUCGUAAAACUCUGUUAUUAGGGAAGAACAUAUGUGUAAGUAACUGUGCACAUCUUGACGGUACCUAAUCAGAAAGCCACGGCUAACUACGUG
Molecule: ribosomal RNA, 497 nt
Filed under: uncultured bacterium
Lineage: Bacteria
Description: partial 16S ribosomal RNA
Rfam family: Bacterial small subunit ribosomal RNA
Source: RNAcentral